AUUGAACGCUGGCGGCAGGCCUAACACAUGCAAGUCGAGCGGUAACAGGUCCUUCGGGAUGCUGACGAGCGGCGGACGGGUGAGUAAUGCAUAGGAAUCUGCCCGGUAGUGGGGGAUAACCUGGGGAAACCCAGGCUAAUACCGCAUACGUCCUACGGGAGAAAGGGGGCUCCGGCUCCCGCUAUUGGAUGAGCCUAUGUCGGAUUAGCUAGUUGGUGAGGUAAUGGCUCACCAAGGCAACGAUCCGUAGCUGGUCUGAGAGGAUGAUCAGCCACAUCGGGACUGAGACACGGCCCGAACUCCUACGGGAGGCAGCAGUGGGGAAUAUUGGACAAUGGGCGCAAGCCUGAUCCAGCCAUGCCGCGUGUGUGAAGAAGGCCCUCGGGUUGUAAAGCACUUUCAGCGAGGAAGAACGCCUAGGGGUUAAUACCCCCUAGGAAAGACAUCACUCGCAGAAGGAGCACCGGCUAACUCCGUGCCAGCAGCCGCGGUAAUACGGAGGGUGCAAGCGUUAAUCGGAAUUACUGGGCGUAAAGCGCGCGUAGGUGGCUUGAUAAGCCGGUUGUGAAAGCCCCGGGCUCAACCUGGGAACGGCAUCCGGAACUGUCAAGCUAGAGUGCAGGAGAGGAAGGUAGAAUUCCCGGUGUAGCGGUGAAAUGCGUAGAGAUCGGGAGGAAUACCAGUGGCGAAGGCGGCCUUCUGGACUGACACUGACACUGAGGUGCGAAAGCGUGGGUAGCAAACA
RNAcentral lists this ribosomal RNA (745 nucleotides) under uncultured Halomonas sp. Its description in RNAcentral is "bacterial SSU rRNA". It matches the Rfam family "Bacterial small subunit ribosomal RNA", at positions 28 to 774 of the family's 1533-position model. The record is from RNAcentral. Lineage: Bacteria; Pseudomonadati; Pseudomonadota; Gammaproteobacteria; Oceanospirillales; Halomonadaceae.